Molecule: ribosomal RNA, 251 nt
Filed under: uncultured prokaryote
Description: partial 16S rRNA
Rfam family: Bacterial small subunit ribosomal RNA
Source: RNAcentral
ACGUAGGGGGCAAGCGUUGCUCGGAAUUACUGGGCGUAAAGGGUGUGUAGGUGGCUGAUUAAGUUAUGGAUGAAAUCCCGAGGCUCAACUUCGGAACUGUCCUUGAUACUGGUCAGCUUGAGUCUAGUAAAGGAAGACGGAAUUCCCGGUGUAGCGGUGAAAUGCGCAGAUAUCAGGAGGAACACCGAAAGCGAAGGCAGUUCUCUAAGCUGUCCCUGACGCUAAGCCGCGAAGGUUAGGGUAGCAAACAG